Molecule: ribosomal RNA, 254 nt
Filed under: uncultured bacterium
Lineage: Bacteria
Description: partial 16S ribosomal RNA
Rfam family: Bacterial small subunit ribosomal RNA
Source: RNAcentral
UACGGAGGGAGCUAGCGUUGUUCGGAAUUACUGGGCGUAAAGCGCACGUAGGCGGCUUUUUAAGUCAGGGGUGAAAUCCCGGGGCUCAACCCCGGAACUGCCCUUGAAACUGGAGAGCUAGAAUCUUGGAGAGGCGAGUGGAAUUCCGAGUGUAGAGGUGAAAUUCGUAGAUAUUCGGAAGAACACCAGUGGCGAAGGCGACUCGCUGGACAAGUAUUGACGCUGAGGUGCGAAAGCGUGGGGAGCAAAACAGG